RNAcentral lists this ribosomal RNA (699 nucleotides) under uncultured bacterium. RNAcentral's name for it is "bacterial SSU rRNA". It matches the Rfam family "Bacterial small subunit ribosomal RNA", at positions 1 to 701 of the family's 1533-position model. The record is from RNAcentral.
AGGAGUUUGAUCCUGGCUCAGAUUGAACGCUGGCGGCAUGCUUUACACAUGCAAGUCGAACGGCAGCACGGGGGCAACCCUGGUGGCGAGUGGCGAACGGGUGAGGAAUGCACCGGAACGUAUCUUCAAGUGGGGGAUAACGCAUCGAAAGGUGUGCUAAUACCGCAUAAUCUCUGAGGAGAAAAGCAGGGGAUCGCAAGACCUUGCGCUUUUGGAGCGGCCGAUGCCUGAUUAGCUUGUUGGUGAGGUAAAAGCUCACCAAGGCUCCGAUCAGUAGCUGGUCUGAGAGGACGACCAGCCACACUGGGACUGAGACACGGCCCAGACUCCUACGGGAGGCAGCAGUGGGGAAUUUUGGACAAUGGGGGCAACCCUGAUCCAGCCAUGCCGCGUGAGUGAAGAAGGCCUUCGGGUUGUAAAGCUCUUUCAGCCGGAACGAAACGGUCACGGUUAAUACCCGUGACUACUGACGGUACCGGAAGAAGAAGCACCGGCUAACUACGUGCCAGCAGCCGCGGUAAUACGUAGGGUGCGAGCGUUAAUCGGAAUUACUGGGCGUAAAGCGUGCGCAGGCGGUUUUGUAAGUCAGAUGUGAAAUCCCCGGGCUUAACCUGGGAACUGCGUUUGAAACUGCAAGGCUAGAGUGUGGCAGAGGGGGGUGGAAUUCCGCGUGUAGCAGUGAAAUGCGUAGAUAUGUGG